Molecule: long non-coding RNA, 666 nt
Organism: Acanthochromis polyacanthus (spiny chromis)
Lineage: Eukaryota; Metazoa; Chordata; Actinopteri; Pomacentridae
Exons: 2
Source: RefSeq, a predicted model, not a curated record
AUCUAUCAAAUGCAGGUAUGCUUAUGCGAAGUCUGACAUAAACAAAGUUCCCCCAUGUGACCUACUUUUUGGAUGUCUAAUUGGCUGAAUGUGUUUUUUUUCUCAUGCCUCCAUUGAAUGAAAGUGACUUUGCAAACAAAAAGGGCUCAUGUCUUCACUUUAAACACAGUAAGUAAUUUCCUUGCAGAAAUAAAUUGCACCAUAGCACUAUUUCGGGGCAGCGUCAUGUUUUGUGACUGCAAUGCCUUUUUUUUCCAGGCGGCGAUGGGCGUUUCUGGCCGGAGAUGGCGCUGUUGAGCAUAUAUUUUGUUUCAGUCCCGUUUCCCUCCAUGGUUUCCCCUCUCUCCGACUAACUUAGCGUUUGGCUCAGUUCAUUAUACAGUCCUAAUAUUCUCCUCCAUUAGGGCAUCUCUGCCUUUGGACUGAAGAUCCCACCAAACCCAAGAGAGAAAAGUUUAACUUUCACAGGGCACGAUGGACAUGAAAAGAGGAUCACUUGGAGCUAAGAAACAGGACACCGUCUGAUGUACGAGAACUCGUCCUGGACAAUUGUCGAUCGGUUUGAAGGAAAAAUCGAAGCCUCACAGCUGAAUUUGUCAACCUGGAGUUCCUCAGUUUGAUAAAUGUUGGCUUAAUCUCAGUCUCCAACCUUCCCAAACUAGGAAA